UGUGGUUAUAUUAAGGGCGUAUGGUGGAUGCCUUGACACUAAAUGGCGAUGAAGGACGUGGCGUAACUACGAAAACUUCGGGGAGGUGUGUAGCAACCUUUGAUCCGGAGGUGUCCGAAUGGGGAAACCCAAUUGAGCAACCCUCAAUUACUCUGGCCUCGCGCCAGAGUGCGAACCCGCUGAAGUGAAACAUCUCAGUAAGCGGAGGAAAGGAGAACGAAGUUAUCCCCUUAGUAGCGGCGAGCGAAACGGGGAAAGCCCAAACCAGAUCGGAUGUCGGACUUUGGGUAGCAGUAUUUGGAAAUCGGAUCUCAGAUAUAAAACAUCUGAUAUCUGAAAUCCGAUAUCUGAUAUCUGAAAUCCGAUAUCUUGAUUUGGGGUAGUAAGGCAUGUGCGCUAUCUUGACUUACGACUUUCUACUGACGACGUAUGUUGUUGGUUGUUAGUCGUUGGUUGGGAUGUGGAAGAGUUAUAAAUUUUUUAGCUAGCCAAACUCCUUGGAACAGGAGACCAUAGAGGGCGAACGUCCCGUAGGCGAAAGCUAAAAAACUCUUUAGCAUGUGAUCUUGAGUACUUCGAAAAAUGAAUGUUUCGGAGGAAUCUUCCCGCACUAUCGGGAAAGGCUAAAUACAUUUAGUGAUCGAUAGCGAACGAGUACCGUGAGGGAAAGGUGAAAAGUAGGCCGGUGAGGCCGAUGAAAUAGAACCUGAAACCAUAUGUCUACAAGGAACGGAACCUCGCAAGAGGAACCGUGUGCCUAUUGAAGAAUGAACCAACGAGUUUAUGUGUAUCGCUCGUCUAAGUUCUACGGAACGGAGGCAUAGCGAAAGCGAGUCUUAAAAGGGCGAUUAUGGCGGUACGCAUAAGACCCGAAGCCGGGUGAGCUUGCCGUGGGCAGGAUGAAGUUCGUCGAAAGGCGAAUGGAGGUCCGAACCGGUUGGUUGUGCAAAACCUUCGGAUGACCCAUGGUAAGGAGUGAAAAGCUAAUCGAACUCGGUAAUAGCUGGUUCUCUCCGAAAUAGCUUUAGGGCUAGCGUCCAGGAUUAAUGUAUGGGGGGUAGAGCUACUGGUUGAGAGGUAAAGGGAGAAAUCUCGGCCUUUCGGUCAAACUCCGAAUACCCAUGCAAAUCGCCUGGGCAGUCAGAACGUGGGGGCUAAGCUCCAUGUUCGCGAGGGGAACAGCCCAGAUCGUUGUCUAAGGUCCCCAAAUCUAUGCUCAGUGUAAAAGGUAGUAGUUUGCCAGAGACAGGUAGGAGGUUGGCUUAGAGGUAGCCAUCCUUUAAAGAGUGUGUAACAACUCACUACUAGACGGCCGACUGCGCCGAAAAUUUACCGGGGCUUAAGCAUAGUACCGAAGACACGAAUGUCAGUGCAUUACACAAAGUGUUUAUAAAAGGUUUUUGGAAACAAUGAGAAGGAUGUAGAGCAGGAGAAGCUCAAACGAGAGAGCGCUCACAUGGCAUGUGAGAGGUUGAGGUUUGAAUCCUCACUCCUGCGCCACACCUAAAAAUCAAUAUCGAGAGAGGGGAUGUGAUCGUUUAAUGGUAAGACGUUCGGCGAUCCUUUAGGUCUGUGCUCCCGCGCGGAUCAGAGGAAUCAUCUUCCUCAAGGAGGCCUCCAGGAAGAAGAUCUAAGAUUUGCCGAAUAUGAGAGUUCGAAGCUCUCGAGCGUCCCCUCUCCCGAUCAAUAAUUGCACACCGUCACGAUUAUUAGUGGCUAGCCGCACUCUAAAGGUUGCUAAUCUGAAUCUGGGUUGGCUCCUUCUCAUUGUUUCCAAAAAAUAAAUAUUUUGUGUAGUGCAUUGACGUGGUAGGAGAGCAUUCCAAAUGCGCUGAAGCUUGACCCGUGAGGGCGAGUGGAGUGUUUGGAAGAGAGAAUGUUGGUAUGAGUAACCACAACCCGCCUGAGAACGGCGGGCCCCGAAAAUCCAAGGUUUCCUUCGCAAUGGAAAUCAGCGAAGGGUGAGGCGGUCCUAAGGCGAUGGCGAAAGCCGGAGCUAAUGGAUAGUCGGUUAAUAUUCCGACCCGCCAGUAUGAUUCGAUGGAGGGACAAGGUGUUGUACGCGGAUCGUCUUAAUGGUUUGACGUCCGUGACGCGAGAAUCUCUGACUGGCAAAUCCGUCAGAGUUCCUUUAAUGGUGCAUUCGAGCGUAGCGGCGAUGUCUGCUUAUGGCGGGCAAAGUUCGCGGAGCACAUCUUCGAGAAAAACUUCUAAGGUUAAUCAUAUUGGCACCGUACCGUAAUCCGACACAGGUGGGUGAGGCGAGAAGCCUCAGGGGAACGAGUGAUUCAUCCUUAAGGAACUCGGCACAAAAGCGGCCGUAACUUCGGGAUAAGGCCUUCCAGCCCUUUUGGAUAAUGAUCGUGUUAUGCGCCGACAAGAUAGUGGUAUGCUAGUAUUUGUCGUGUAACGUUAUUAUUAUCCAAAAGAGCUGGACGCAGCGAAAGUCUCUCGGGUGACUGUUUACUAAAGACACAGCUCCCUGCGAACUCGUAAGAGGAUGUAUAGGGGGUGACGCCUGACCGAUGCGAGAAGGUUAACGGUGCCGGUUGUGCCGCAAGGUACAGCUGAGUGCCCGAAGCCCUCGUCAAUGUCAGCGAUAACUAUAAUCGUUCUAAGGUAGCGCAAUUCCUUUCCGGGUAAGUUCCGGAGCGCACGAAAGGCGUAACGACCUGAGAACUGUCUCAAGGAUGAGCUCGGUGAAAAUGCGAUUCCCGUGAAGACGCGGGGUACCUGCAGCGGGACGAGAAGACCCCAGGAGCUUUACUGUAACUUGAUAUUGAUACUAGGGCUUGGAUGCGUAGCGUAGUGGGCAGGCUUUGAAGCCAUGCUUUCGGGCGUGGUGGAGCCGACGAUGAAACACCCAUCUUUCAAAUUUUAGUAUCUAACCUCGAGGGCAAAAACCGCGGGGGACAGUGUCUGGUGGGCAGUUUUAAUGGGGCGUUAUCCUCCCAAAAAGUAACGGAGGAGUUUAAAGGUCAGCUUAGUCCGGAUGGAAAUCGGACUGGACGUGUAAAGGCGUAUGCUGGCUUGACGGCAAGACACACAAGUCGCGCCGACGCGAAAGCGGAACUUAGUGACCCGACGGCAAUGUCAUGUGUUAUUUAUAAUGCGUGAUGCUUCAUAGGAAGGCCGGAGACAACGGAUAAAAGCUACCCUGGGGAUAACAGGCUGGUGAUGCCCGAGCGUCCAUAGCGACGGCAUCGCUCGGCACCUCGAUGUCGGCUCACCCUAGCGCGGGGCUGGAGAAGGUCCCAAGCGUUUGGCUGUUCGCCAAUUAAAAGGGUACGCGAGCUGGGUUUAGACCGUCGUGAGACAGGUUGGUCUCUAUCUGCUGCAGGCGUUGACGCUUGAGGGAGGUUGGCUCUAGUAAGAAAUUGCUACUUUCCCGAGUAAUCGGGAAUGAUAAUAUGGCUAAUAACGGUGAACUCUUAACUGUUCUGGUUCGUUGAUAGCUACAACUACAUGUCGGUCCGUUAGUUGUGGUACAAUUUACUUGAGGACCAGUAAAUUAAUUAAGACAAUACCGUGGGAAGUCGAUCAAAAACAAAUCUAGCUUACAUAGCUGGUUUUCUUGAUGGCGAUGGAAGUCUAAUGAUGCAAAUCAAAAAGCGUACUGACGGAAUCAAAAAAUUCCGAUUUAUGCUCACUAUUUGUUUGUAUCAAGAUUCAAGACAUGAUAAACCUUUGUGGUGGAUCAAAAAACAAUUUGGUAUCGGGUAUAUUUCCAAGAGGAAAGAUCAUAUAACCGAAUUGAGAAUUAAUGGUUUUAAGCAAGUCCGAACUAUUCUUGAAGAAUUACUUCCGUAUAUUCGCUUUAAAAGAAAGCAAGCGAUUGAAAUAAUUAAAGCUGCGCGUAUUCUUGAAAAUAGAAAGGUUAGUGUCAGGAAUACAAAAAAACUUGUUGAUUGUAUAAUUACUAUUCAAAAAAACAAUUAUGCGACCAAAAGCAAACGCAGCAAAAGUGAGUUAUAUAGUGUUUUAGGUUUGACCCCGUAACGACUGAUUUCCAAUGAUAUAUUGGAAUGAAAUAGAAACUUUUUAGUUUUUAUGAUAUGCCAUCCCCCGGCGCUUUGUCGGGGUGAAGAUAUAGUCUGCGCACGUAGUGAUACGUGAUAUCGUGACGAGAGGACCGGGCUGAACGAACCUCUGGUCUACCAGCUUUGGUACCAACUGAAGCGCUGGGUAGCUAUGUUCGGUCGGGAUAAGCGCUGAAAGCAUCUAAGCGCGAAGCCCAUCCCAAGAUUAGGCGUCGUAGGAUCCUGGAAGAUGACCAGGUUGAUAGGCUCUCGGUGUACGCAUCGUAAGAUGUUUAGCCAAGGAGUACUAAUAAUCCAUACUGACUACAAU
RNAcentral lists this small RNA (4350 nucleotides) under Minisyncoccota bacterium. RNAcentral describes it as "23S ribosomal RNA". The stretch from base 1 to 3387 matches the Rfam family "Bacterial large subunit ribosomal RNA". The record is from RNAcentral. Lineage: Bacteria; Bacillati; Minisyncoccota.